This 501-nucleotide ribosomal RNA is filed under the name uncultured bacterium. RNAcentral describes it as "partial 16S ribosomal RNA". It matches the Rfam family "Bacterial small subunit ribosomal RNA", at positions 30 to 523 of the family's 1533-position model. The record is from RNAcentral.
AUUGAACGCUGGCGGCAUGCCUUACACAUGCAAGUCGAACGGCAGCACGGGUGCUUGCACCUGGUGGCGAGUGGCGAACGGGUGAGUAAUAUAUCGGAACGUACCUUAUUGUGGGGGAUAACGCAGCGAAAGCUGUGCUAAUACCGCAUAAUCCCUAGGGGGGAAAGCGGGGGACCGUAAGGCCUCGCGCAAUUAGAGCGGCCGAUACCUGAUUAGCUAGUUGGUGAGGUAAAGGCUCACCAAGGCAACGAUCAGUAGCUGGUCUGAGAGGACGAUCAGCCACACUGGGACUGAGACACGGCCCAGACUCCUACGGGAGGCAGCAGUGGGGAAUUUUGGACAAUGGGGGCAACCCUGAUCCAGCAAUGCCGCGUGAGUGAAGAAGGCCUUCGGGUUGUAAAGCUCUUUUGUCAGGGAAGAAACAGCAGCUCUAACACAGUUUGCGAAUGACGGUACCUGAAGAAUAAGCACCGGCUAACUACGUGCCAGCAGCCGCGGUAA